This 412-nucleotide unclassified non-coding RNA is filed under the name uncultured fungus. RNAcentral's name for it is "partial contains small subunit ribosomal RNA, internal transcribed spacer 1, and 5.8S ribosomal RNA". The stretch from base 1 to 73 matches the Rfam family "Eukaryotic small subunit ribosomal RNA", at positions 1759 to 1831 of the family's 1831-position model. Lineage: Eukaryota; Fungi. The record is from RNAcentral.
UCAAACUUGGUCAUUUAGAGGAAGUAAAAGUCGUAACAAGGUUUCCGUAGGUGAACCUGCGGAAGGAUCAUUAACACGUAUCCACGUAUCAACCCCUCGUGCAAAACAAGCCACGUAUAUUUGGUCAGUCUAGUCUACUUUGCUUGUCACGGUCCCAACGGUGGCGGUUCCUCUUUCUUUUCAAGAGGGAGGAGCCGGGGAUCUUGAGCGGGUAGGCGCUUUAACGGCUGGCUGGCAUUUUCCCAUCGUUGAGAAUGCCUAAUUGUCCUUUUUUUAACCCCUUUGUACUUCUUUGUACUGAACCACAUUUCUUUCGGAGCUCGAAAGGGCGACGAAGAGAACAUGUUUACGAAACAAAAGAACAACUCUUAGCAACGGAUAUCUUGGUUCCCGCAUCGAUGAAGAACGCAGC